GCUCGGUUGGCUCAGUUGGCAGUAGCGUACGGCUGUUAACCGUAAGGUCACUGGUUCGACCCCAGUACCGAGCG
Rhizoclosmatium globosum is the source of this 74-nucleotide transfer RNA. It matches the Rfam family "tRNA". Rfam says of the family: Transfer RNA (tRNA) molecules are approximately 80 nucleotides in length. Lineage: Eukaryota; Fungi; Chytridiomycota; Chytridiomycetes; Chytridiales; Chytriomycetaceae. The record is from Rfam.